UACGUAGGGUGCGAGCGUUAAUCGGAAUUACUGGGCGUAAAGAGUGCGCAGGCGGCCGCGCAAGUCGAGUGUGAAAGCCCCGAGCUUAACUUGGGAAUUGCGCUCGAAACUACGUGGCUGGAGUGUGGCAGAGGAAGGUGGAAUUCCACGUGUAGCGGUGAAAUGCGUAGAGAUGUGGAGGAACACCGAUGGCGAAGGCAGCCUUCUGGGCCAACACUGACGCUCAUGCACGAAAGCGUGGGGAGCAAACAGG
This 253-nucleotide ribosomal RNA is filed under the name uncultured bacterium. RNAcentral describes it as "partial 16S ribosomal RNA". It matches the Rfam family "Bacterial small subunit ribosomal RNA", at positions 524 to 776 of the family's 1533-position model. The record is from RNAcentral.